UAUGUGAUCGUCUCUCGCAUAUCAAUAAGCGGAGGAAAAGAAACUAACAAGGAUUCCCCUAGUAACGGUGAGUGAAGCGGGAAGAGCUCAAAUUUGAAAUCUUAAAGGGUUUCCCUUUACGAAUUGUAGUUUAAAGAAGUGUUUUCUGUUGAGGUUUUGGUAAAAGUUCUUUGGAAUAGGACAUCAUAGAGGGUGAGAAUCCCGUAUUUGACCUUUACUUUCAACUUUGUGAUACACUUUCAAAGAGUCGGAUUGUUUGGGAAUGCAGUCCAAAAUGGGUGGUAAAUUUCAUCUAAAGCUAAAUAUUGGCGAGAGACCGAUAGCGAACAAGUACCGUGAGGGAAAGAUGAAAAGAACUUUGAAAAGAGAGUUAAACAGUACGUGAAAUUGUCAAAAGGGAAGCGUUUGACACCAGUGUUGUUUUUCUGAAAAUCAAUUAAAGAACUGUUUAUGCUAAGCUGUUUAGACUUUAUCAGCUAACUGUUUAGUUUUGAGCUUUUCUUUAAUGCACUUUUCAGUUAACAAGUCAACAUCAAUUUCUUUUGCUGUAAAAAAGCUUGAGGAAGGUGGCUUGAGAUUCGUCUUAAGUGUUUAUAGCCUCUUGCCUAUGCAGUCGGAGAGAUUGAGGUCUGCAGCGUAGAUCCUUCGGGGCUAAAUGCAUUUGUGCUAAGUUAUAGCAUUUUAUAGACAACUUGUUGACUAUGAUUUGUCUUGUAGCUUACUCGCUUAUGUUAUUUUACCUACGCUUAGGAUGUUGAGUAGCGACAUACGCAC
This 774-nucleotide ribosomal RNA is filed under the name uncultured Neocallimastigales. RNAcentral's name for it is "partial large subunit ribosomal RNA". It matches the Rfam family "Eukaryotic large subunit ribosomal RNA", at positions 24 to 649 of the family's 3401-position model. Lineage: Eukaryota; Fungi; Neocallimastigomycota; Neocallimastigomycetes; Neocallimastigales. The record is from RNAcentral.